AUUGACCUCGGAUCAGGUAGGGAUACCCGCUGAACUUAAGCAUAUCAAUAAGCGGAGGAAAAGAAACCAACAGGGAUUGCCUCAGUAACGGCGAGUGAAGCGGCAACAGCUCAAAUUUGAAAUCUGGCCCCGUCGGGGUCCGAGUUGUAAUUUGUAGAGAGUGUUUCGGGUGAGACCACGGUCUAAGUCUCAUUGGAACAUGGCGUCAUAGAGGGUGAGAAUCCCGUAUGUGACUGUGGCUCGAGCCCAUGUGAAGCCUCUUCGACGAGUCGAGUUGUUUGGGAAUGCAGCUCAAAAUGGGUGGUAAAUUUCAUCUAAAGCUAAAUACUGGCUGGAGACCGAUAGCGCACAAGUAGAGUGAUCGAAAGAUGAAAAGCACUUUGGAAAGAGAGUCAAACAGUACGUGAAAUUGUUGAAAGGGAAGCGCUUGCAACCAGACCUGUCCGUAGGUGAUCAGCCGCUGUUCUCAGCGGUGCACUCGCUCUGCGAUCAGGCCAGCAUCGGUUUCGGCGGUUGGAUAAAGGCCUUGGGAAUGUAGCUCCCUUCGGGGAGUCUUAUAGCCCUCGGUGCAAUGCGGCCAGCCGGGACCGAGGACCGCGCUUCGGCUAGGAUGCUGGCGUAAUGGUUGUAAGCGACCCGUCUUGAAACACGGACCAAGGAGUCUAACAUCUAUGCGAGUGUUUGGGUGUUAAACCCAUGCGCGGAAUGAAAGUGAACGGAGGUGAGAACCCUUUAGGGCGCAUCAUCGACCGAUCCAGAUGUCUUCGGAUGGAUUUGAGUAUGAGCAUAGCUGUUGGGACCCGAAAGAUGGUGAACUAUGCCUGAAUAGGGUGAAGCCAGAGGAAACUCUGGUGGAGGCUCGCAGCGGUUCUGACGUGCAAAUCGAUCGUCAAAUUUGGGUAUA
Molecule: ribosomal RNA, 904 nt
Filed under: Neuropogon antarcticus
Lineage: Eukaryota; Fungi; Ascomycota; Lecanoromycetes; Lecanorales; Parmeliaceae
Description: eukaryotic LSU rRNA
Rfam family: Eukaryotic large subunit ribosomal RNA
Source: RNAcentral